ACGGGGACCCGCACAAGCGGUGGAUGAUGUGGAUUAAUUCGAUGCAACGCGAAGAACCUUACCUACCCUUGACAUGUCCGGAACUUGCCAGAGAUGGCUUGGUGCCCGAAAGGGAAUCGGAACACAGGUGCUGCAUGGCUGUCGUCAGCUCGUGUCGUGAGAUGUUGGGUUAAGUCCCGCAACGAGCGCAACCCUUAUCAUUAGUUGCUACGCAAGGGCACUCUAAUGAGACUGCCGGUGACAAACCGGAGGAAGUGGGGAUGACGUCAAGUCCUCAUGGCCCUUAUGGGUAGGGCUUCACACGUCAUACAAUGGUCGGUACAGAGGGUUGCCAAGCCGCGAGGCGGAGCCAAUCCCACAAAGCCGAUCGUAGUCCGGAUUGUUCUCUGCAACUCGAGAGCAUGAAGUCGGAAUCGCUAGUAGUCGUGGAUCAGCAUGUCACGGUGAAUACGUUCCCGGGUCUU
Molecule: ribosomal RNA, 464 nt
Filed under: uncultured Thiobacillus sp.
Lineage: Bacteria; Pseudomonadati; Pseudomonadota; Betaproteobacteria; Nitrosomonadales; Thiobacillaceae
Description: bacterial SSU rRNA
Rfam family: Bacterial small subunit ribosomal RNA
Source: RNAcentral